RNAcentral lists this ribosomal RNA (708 nucleotides) under Pseudomonas sp. RNAcentral describes it as "bacterial SSU rRNA". It matches the Rfam family "Bacterial small subunit ribosomal RNA", at positions 54 to 757 of the family's 1533-position model. The record is from RNAcentral. Lineage: Bacteria; Pseudomonadati; Pseudomonadota; Gammaproteobacteria; Pseudomonadales; Pseudomonadaceae.
CAUGCAAGUCGAGCGGAUGACAGGAGCUUGCUCCUGAAUUCAGCGGCGGACGGGUGAGUAAUGCCUAGGAAUCUGCCUGGUAGUGGGGGACAACGUUUCGAAAGGAACGCUAAUACCGCAUACGUCCUACGGGAGAAAGCAGGGGACCUUCGGGCCUUGCGCUAUCAGAUGAGCCUAGGUCGGAUUAGCUAGUUGGUGAGGUAAUGGCUCACCAAGGCGACGAUCCGUAACUGGUCUGAGAGGAUGAUCAGUCACACUGGAACUGAGACACGGUCCAGACUCCUACGGGAGGCAGCAGUGGGGAAUAUUGGACAAUGGGCGAAAGCCUGAUCCAGCCAUGCCGCGUGUGUGAAGAAGGUCUUCGGAUUGUAAAGCACUUUAAGUUGGGAGGAAGGGCAGUAACUUAAUACGUUGCUGUCUUGACGUUACCGACAGAAUAAGCACCGGCUAACUCUGUGCCAGCAGCCGCGGUAAUACAGAGGGUGCAAGCGUUAAUCGGAAUUACUGGGCGUAAAGCGCGCGUAGGUGGUUUGUUAAGUUGGAUGUGAAAGCCCCGGGCUCAACCUGGGAACUGCAUUCAAAACUGACAAGCUAGAGUAUGGUAGAGGGUGGUGGAAUUUCCUGUGUAGCGGUGAAAUGCGUAGAUAUAGGAAGGAACACCAGUGGCGAAGGCGACCACCUGGACUGAUACUGACACUGAGGUGCGAA